RNAcentral lists this ribosomal RNA (434 nucleotides) under uncultured bacterium. RNAcentral describes it as "partial 16S ribosomal RNA". It matches the Rfam family "Bacterial small subunit ribosomal RNA", at positions 29 to 507 of the family's 1533-position model. The record is from RNAcentral.
AGCGAACGCUGGCGGCAGGCCUAACACAUGCAAGUCGAACGAACCUUUCGGGGUUAGUGGCGGACGGGUGAGUAACACGUGGGAACGUGCCUUUAGGUUCGGAAUAACUCAGGGAAACUUGUGCUAAUACCGAAUGUGCCCUGCGGGGGAAAGAUUUAUCGCCUUUAGAGCGGCCCGCGUCUGAUUAGCUAGUUGGUUAAGGUAAUGGCUCACCAAGGCGACGAUCAGUAGCUGGUCUGAGAGGAUGAUCAGCCACAUUGGGACUGAGACACGGCCCAAACUCCUACGGGAGGCAGCAGUGGGGAAUCUUGCGCAAUGGGCGAAAGCCUGACGCAGCCAUGCCGCGUGAAUGAUGAAGGUCUUAGGAUUGUAAAAUUCUUUCACCGGGGACGAUAAUGACGGUACCCGGAGAAGAAGCCCCGGCUAACUUCGUG